AAAUUACAAAGCCAAAAACCAAACCAUGCCCUUCCUGUCAGGCUCCAAACACCUGCAACAGGAAGACAUGCAGUGGAUGCCUGGGCAGCCUGAACGUAAAGGAGGGAUUGAAAAAAAAAAAAACAAGAACAGCAACUGGGCUGCAUCUGUUAAAAAAAAAAACAGAAAUGCGAGCAGGGUGGUUAAUUCAGCCCAGUUAUCAGUAAGGUCAGAUCUAAUAAGUGGUUCUUUAUUAAUCACAGUUGUCAAUGUUUUCUUGUAUAUCAUGAAGUAAGAAACUAACAAGACAUGUAUAUACACAUAACAUAUUUAUUUAUAAAAGAGCAUAAAUAAAAAAGUUAUUCACAUCAGAAUAACAUAAUCACACUAAAGACAUCAAACUAGAAAAAACUAUUUUUAUUUAAGCUACUUCUGAUUUUUAAUUUAAUCGGCUAUUAACAGAGAGACAAAACAUUUCAAGAUGGAUUUUAUCAUUAAUUUACAGGUUUGGUUCCAUAAUUACUUUUUAACUAUUUACAACAAUAAAACACCAAAGAUGUGACACUUAAAGGUUUGUUAUACAUCAGUUUGCUUACAUGAAAGACUGGCUGCAUAUGUUUUUCUUUGUUGUUCUUGCAGGUUUCAAAACUACACGCCCUGGGCUACCAGCUAAUUCUGUUUCUUGGACAGUUUGACCGAAAGGGCCGUAUAGUAGGGGACGUGAUCACAUAGAGCCAGCGGAUGGUGCUGCACGUGACAUCCUCAUGAAGAUGAGGAAACUUUAUGAACACCUUCUGAGAAAAUUACAAGCUUCACCUCCUGCUAAAAGUUCUACACCAGCAGCUGGACCAUCCUCUGCUGACAGUGUCGAUGCUGGACCAGUCCCAGACCCAGAGGCUCUAAACGAGGAAUUUAUUCUUCAUUUAGAGCCUGAACCAACAUCUUCCCUCUGUCAGCCUCCUGUAUCCUCCUCUUCAUCUCUGCUUCCUCCUGCAUCCUCCUCUUCAUCUCUGCUUCCUCCUGCAUCCUCCUCUCCAUCUCUGCUUUUUCCUGCAUCCUCCUCUCCGUCUCUGCUUCCUCCUGCAUCCUCCUCUCCAUCUCUGCUUCCUCCUGCAUCCUCCUCUCCGUCUCUGCUUCCUCCUGCAUCCUCCUCUUCAUCUCCGCUUCCUACAUUUCCCUCAAUUUCUACGGCGUACACCUCGGAUGUCCCAAACAAAAAAAGGACAAGGAAAGAAUGCCGAAAACACCGUACACAGAAGAUUUUCAAAUAUGAAGAGAUAGUAGACAGGAGAGUUGUAAAUGUAAGUAAUUUAGCCUGCUGUUGUGCAGAUUUGUUUGCGUCUUUGGACUUCCCGGAUUUGAACUGUGCCUGACUGACUAUCCAUGAGCUUUUGUAUUUGAUGAAUCUACGCUAAUUCAACCAUUGAGUCUGGAUUUCGCUCCAAGUAGGGCAUUAAAUAGGAACAUACCACCUGAUACAACCUGGUCGUGCUGCCUUCCUGGUGUUUACGUUCUUUAAAGUCCUCCUGACAUCAUGCUCAGAAGGAGUGAUUGAUGUGGAGGUGCUCCUUCCCAUUCAGUAACAUCUGCUUCAGUUAGUUUUGCUUGUGAGCCACAAUGUAAGCAGUGUUGCUUUGCUGACAUGCACUCGAUGCUGGCAGUACAAGCAUUGUAGUGGUUCUUAUGUUUUUGUAAACUAAUUGUAUAAUAUAUUGAGCCAUUCAAUAGUACACAAAUGUUUAUAAGCUCCUUUUUGUAUGCAACUUGCAUGUCUUUCUUAAUUAACUCUUUGUUUAUAUCAUGUUUUUCAGGAAAAAGAAGAAGUUAAAGUCAAGUGGAAGCCCUGCUCGAUAUGGUAUGUAGUAACAACUUUGUUGGACCGGAACAGACAUUUAUAUUGUUGAUAAAUAGUUAUCACCUCAGUUUGAAUUCAUGUAUUUGGACUAAAGUAAAUUGGGAGCUUUUAGCUUUUAGCUGAGGAGCUUGAUAGCAGUCCACCUCCAAAGUUCAUUAUGAGUUUUGGAGGUGGACAUGGUCAACACUUUUAAGAGUAGGCAUAAGACUUUACUUCUUUAUAGAGCUUAUAGUUAGGGCUGGUUCAGGUCAGCCUUUAGUUAUGCUGUCAUAGGACCAGACUGCUGUGGGUUAGUGUCCCCCCCCCCUCUCUCUCUCCUCUGUCUGUCUGUCUCUUUCAGGGUUAUGCAGGCUCAGUAUUGGUUGAAGAUGCAGUCACAUCUCCUUUUACUAAAACUCUCCCCUCUCCCUCACCAUCUGUAAGCAUACAUGUCUCAGUAAUGCAGUUCAUGCAUGUUACUAACUAAACUUCUUCCCUGGAGUUUCUGUGCUCUCUCAUCCAGCAGGUUCCGAUGGAUCGUGGCUGCUGCUGUGGUCCUGCUUGACAUCUACUACAUAUAUUAUUACUCUCUGACUUGAUUUGAUUAAUUUAUAUUACAAUGAAGGUGUAUAAAGCAUGACAUGAAUAUAGAAGAUAUUUCAUCCUAAAAAUUGUCAUAUGUCACAACCUAAAUUAUCCUAUUUUGUGUGUUGUUGUCGUUGUUGUUUGUUAUGUUUUUCUCCUGACAGUGGCAAAGUGUGGGAUGACACAUGAGAAUCUGCGCAGUUUUUCACACAGUAAACCAGAUCCCUGUGUGCGAUUGCACAGUUCAGUUUGUAGUUCAG
This 2658-nucleotide long non-coding RNA is filed under the name Oreochromis niloticus (Nile tilapia). Its description in RNAcentral is "lncRNA (ENSONIG00000036330.1)". Lineage: Eukaryota; Metazoa; Chordata; Actinopteri; Cichliformes; Cichlidae. The record is from RNAcentral.